Molecule: long non-coding RNA, 1731 nt
Organism: Meleagris gallopavo (turkey)
Lineage: Eukaryota; Metazoa; Chordata; Aves; Galliformes; Phasianidae
Source: Ensembl
CCGCCAGCCUCCCCGGUGCUGCCACGGCCGGGAUGUGGGCCUGCUGGAACGGGCUGCUGGGCGGGCUGUGCGGCCUGGCCGAGGCGGCCUGCGGGCUGGCGCUGGGGGCCGUGGAGGGGCUGGGCGGCCUGCUGAGGGGCUGCUGCUCCGCCCUGGAAGGCCUGAAGGUGCUGGGCCACCUGCUGACCCACCUGGGGCUGCGGGGCAGGGAGCUGCUGCAGCAGAUCCCGCAGGCACAUCCAGGGAUGAGUCGAAGCACUGUGUCUGGGCAGCGUCUCCAGGCAUCCAGGGACGAGCCAAGCACCUCUUGGGGGAAAGCUCCAAGAAGAGAGCAGCUGAACGCAGCAGCUGGGGAUGGAGCAGGCGCUCCAGACAACGACCCCUGGAUGCUUCUGAAAGAACAAGAGGAACGUAAGAAAUGCGUCAUCUGUCAAGAUCAAACCAAGACAGUGCUGCUUCUGCCCUGCAGGCACCUGUGCCUGUGCCAGGAGUGCACAGAAGUCCUCCUGCAGCAGGCUAUCUACCAACGCAACUGCCCGCUGUGCCGCCAGAUGAUCCUCCAGACGCUCAACGUGUACUUGUGAACUGUGGGGUGGUGGUUUGGGUUGUUUUUUCCAGGUGUCUUUCAGCCACAUCCAGUGCACAACUAGGCUGUAGAUCCUGCUAGCAGGCACAGUAGCUGAUCUCUGCAGCAGGCUGAAAGGUUGUGUUUUUUUGUUUUUGUUGUUGUAUUUGACAACUUCUGUUUCAAGGCCUGUUGCCUUGAGCCUGUGAUCUGAAACAAAGCACAGAGGGAUGCUCUGGUUCCUCCUAGCCAAAGCUGAUGAAAGGAUAAAAGCUGUGCCAUCUUGGAAAUUACUGGAACUGGUGCAAGGCAAAGGAGUGUUUUUCUACCAAGGCUUGGCCAAAAAUUUAUCUGGUGGACUGCAUUUGCAUUCUUCUUUCCUCCUGCCAUUUAAGUGGGGCAGCUCCCAGGGAAGGGAUUUGCAUGCCCCUUUUGCAGGCUCUAGCAAAGCACACUUGAGCUUUUUAGGCUUUUCUACCAAAGGGCUGAGCCCAGCUCUCAGCUGGAGGACAGCAGGGCUUCUGAGGCUCCUUAACAUCCCAGCCAUUAUGGCUUUGGAGUCCAAAUUUUCCCUUGCUAGUAGGAGCCACGAUGAGCACCAUCUCCCUGCAGGACAGCUGACUGCAGAGCUCAGUGCUGCUGCUGCUUCCACACCUAUGCAAGACCAGCAAGCACAUACUGUGUUACUUGCAUGGAGGGGCUUGAAGAGAGUUUGUUACCUGUUGCCUGGGGAACCUGAGCAGCCCUCAGGCUGGAGAGCAUUUGCCACUUCCCAGGCUGGGCUGGCAGGAAGGGGUGGCUCUUUGGGAGGCAAGGGGACACCCCAAUCCUCCUUGAAGCCCACUGAGACAUUCCAGCUCCAGGCACAAGUGCAAUGGACCUGCAGACUUGUGCUGUGUCGAGGUCUGAUGGUGUGUGAGAGCAGCUCUGCAGGGACUGCUGUGUGCUGGAGUCUCUUCAUCCUCACCUCCCAGCCACUUCUGCAGCUCAGAUGGACUCACCCCUGGUUGGGGCCAGCUAGCGAUCUUGGGGUGCAGUGUUUCCUAGUGUGUUUCAGGGGAGGAAGGACACCUCCAGACUGCGAUUUCUCCCUACAAAUCUUUUUUUUAAUUAUUAUUAUAGCAGUCAUUGUUUUAGGGGCCCAUUUGUUUUUUGCCUGUUUAUAA